Molecule: long non-coding RNA, 217 nt
Filed under: Homo sapiens (human)
Lineage: Eukaryota; Metazoa; Chordata; Mammalia; Primates; Hominidae
Description: HSALNT0315815
Source: RNAcentral
UGUUUCUGUUGUUUUUGACAUGUGCUUAAUCAACCAUCAGAGUAAUUCUCCACUGACUCUCUCCAGCCACUGGACUACAAAGAGAAUAUGUUAUUACAGAAAUCCAUUCCAACCAAGGGGAAUUUGAAGGAAGGAUACAGGAAUUUCGCUUAGAAUGCAAGAACAAUGGCAUGACCAUUUAUAUAUAGAAGAUCUGGAAGAAUCAACAUUAAAAAAA